GACGUAGGGGGCGAGCGUUGUCCGGAUUCAUUGGGCGUAAAGAGCGCGCAGGCGGCUUGGUAAGUCGGAUGUGAAAUCCCGAGGCUCAACCUCGGGUCUGCAUCCGAUACUGCCCGGCUAGAGGUAGGUAGGGGAGAUCGGAAUUCCUGGUGUAGCGGUGAAAUGCGCAGAUAUCAGGAGGAACACCGGUGGCGAAGGCGGAUCUCUGGGCCUUCCCUGACGCUCAGGCGCGAAAGCUAGGGGAGCGAACUGG
RNAcentral lists this ribosomal RNA (253 nucleotides) under uncultured bacterium. Its description in RNAcentral is "partial 16S ribosomal RNA". It matches the Rfam family "Bacterial small subunit ribosomal RNA", at positions 524 to 776 of the family's 1533-position model. The record is from RNAcentral.